UCACAGUCUGAGCUCAUCCAAACGCCACAAGGCAGGAAAGAAGACAAAAGGUAUAUCAGCAGCAUACCAUGGAGGAUGUGUCCAGUCAUCCUUUCAUUACUAUAUAUAAAGUAAUAAAAAGAAAACCCCAGACCCUGCUCUCCUGUACAGGCUGGAAGGACAAGGAAGGACAUCCAGGACAUGGUGCUGCCAGGGGAAUCACACAAGGGCGUAGAAGGACGAAACUCCCAAGAUGACUGGUACCAGGAGCUACCUGGGAAAAGAUAGUGGGAGUUGCUCUCUGCCCAGCCACAGCCCGUGGGACUGAGACCUGUUGUAACUAAAAGAUACAGAGAGUUGUGUUUGGGGAGGA
Molecule: long non-coding RNA, 352 nt
Organism: Oreochromis aureus
Lineage: Eukaryota; Metazoa; Chordata; Actinopteri; Cichliformes; Cichlidae
Source: Ensembl